GAUGAAUGUCAUAUAUUAGACAUGUAAUAGUUUAUUAUAUAAAUGAAAGUGUAAGCAUUCCACCUCAAGAGUAAUUUGGCAACAUUGGAACUGAAAUCAUUAGACCGUUUCUGAAACCAGUAGUGAAGUAUGUUGUUUAAUUUGAUAACCCGCAAAAAACCUUACCACAAUUUGAAUAUUUAUAUCUUUUUUAUUUUUAGUUUUUAAUAAUUUUUUUAUACAUAAAAAAACAGAAAGAUAAGAAAAAUAUUUUUACAAGCGUUGCACGGCUGUCUUCAGUUAAUGUCGUGAGACUCUGGUUAGUUCCAUUAAAUUAACGUAAACCCUUACUUUAUUUUUAUAUAAAGUUGUUCUCCGCUAUAUUGGAUAAGAUAACAGGGACUAAGACAAGUCAUCAUGGCCUU
This 404-nucleotide ribosomal RNA is filed under the name Bryonora rhypariza. RNAcentral's name for it is "partial small subunit ribosomal RNA". It matches the Rfam family "Bacterial small subunit ribosomal RNA", at positions 801 to 1202 of the family's 1533-position model. Lineage: Eukaryota; Fungi; Ascomycota; Lecanoromycetes; Lecanorales; Lecanoraceae. The record is from RNAcentral.